RNAcentral lists this ribosomal RNA (253 nucleotides) under uncultured bacterium. RNAcentral's name for it is "partial 16S ribosomal RNA". It matches the Rfam family "Bacterial small subunit ribosomal RNA", at positions 524 to 776 of the family's 1533-position model. The record is from RNAcentral.
CACGUAGGGUGCGAGCGUUGUCCGGAAUUAUUGGGCGUAAAGAGCGUGUAGGCGGCCCGAUUAGUCCGCUGUGAAAGUCCAGGGCUCAACCCUGGAAUGCCGGUGGAUACUGUCGGGCUAGAGUCCGGAAGGGGCGAGUGGAAUUCCUGGUGUAGCGGUGAAAUGCGUAGAUAUCAGGAGGAACACCGGUGGCGAAGGCGGCUUUCUGGACAGUAACUGACGCUGAGGCGCGAAAGCUAGGGGAGCAAACAGG